UAGGGAAUCUUCCGCAAUGGGCGAAAGCCUGACGGAGCAACGCCGCGUGAGUGAUGAAGGUCUUCGGAUCGUAAAACUCUGUUAUUAGGGAAGAACAAAUGUGUAAGUAACUAUGCACGUCUUGACGGUACCUAAUCAGAAAGCCACGGCUAACUACGUGCCAGCAGCCGCGGUAAUACGUAGGUGGCAAGCGUUAUCCGGAAUUAUUGGGCGUAAAGCGCGCGUAGGCGGUUUUUUAAGUCUGAUGUGAAAGCCCACGGCUCAACCGUGGAGGGUCAUUGGAAACUGGAAAACUUGAGUGCAGAAGAGGAAAGUGGAAUUCCAUGUGUAGCGGUGAAAUGCGCAGAGAUAUGGAGGAACACCAGUGGCGAAGGCGCCUUUCUGGUCAGUAACUGACGCUGAUGUGCGAAAGCGUGGGGAUCAAACAGG
RNAcentral lists this ribosomal RNA (429 nucleotides) under Actinomycetes bacterium. RNAcentral describes it as "Actinobacteria bacterium partial 16S ribosomal RNA". It matches the Rfam family "Bacterial small subunit ribosomal RNA", at positions 355 to 776 of the family's 1533-position model. The record is from RNAcentral. Lineage: Bacteria; Bacillati; Actinomycetota; Actinomycetes.